This 490-nucleotide ribosomal RNA is filed under the name uncultured bacterium. Its description in RNAcentral is "partial 16S ribosomal RNA". It matches the Rfam family "Bacterial small subunit ribosomal RNA", at positions 30 to 507 of the family's 1533-position model. The record is from RNAcentral.
AUUGAACGCUGGCGGCAGGCCUAACACAUGCAAGUCGAACGGUAACAGGAAGAAGCUUGCUUCUUUGCUGACGAGUGGCGGACGGGUGAGUAAUGUCUGGGAAACUGCCUGAUGGAGGGGGAUAACUACUGGAAACGGUAGCUAAUACCGCAUAACGUCGCAAGACCAAAGAGGGGGACCUUCGGGCCUCUUGCCAUCGGAUGUGCCCAGAUGGGAUUAGCUAGUAGGUGGGGUAACGGCUCACCUAGGCGACGAUCCCUAGCUGGUCUGAGAGGAUGACCAGCCACACUGGAACUGAGACACGGUCCAGACUCCUACGGGAGGCAGCAGUGGGGAAUAUUGCACAAUGGGCGCAAGCCUGAUGCAGCCAUGCCGCGUGUAUGAAGAAGGCCUUCGGGUUGUAAAGUACUUUCAGCGGGGAGGAAGGGAGUAAAGUUAAUACCUUUACUCAUUGACGUUACCCGCAGAAAAAGCACCGGCUAACUCCGUG